This 215-nucleotide non-coding RNA is filed under the name Devosia sp. Lineage: Bacteria; Pseudomonadati; Pseudomonadota; Alphaproteobacteria; Hyphomicrobiales; Devosiaceae. The record is from RNAcentral.
GCGUAGAGCUAGCGGGCUGGUUCCCGCGGCCAUACCGCCAAGGGAUCAAAAGGGAACACGGUGAGGCGUACCCAACAGGGACCGAUACCGUGGCUGCCCCCGCAACUGUGAGCGGCGAGCGAGCUUCGACAAUGCCACUGGUGAGCGAUCACCGGGAAGGCCGGAGACCGCAGCGACCCGCAAGCCAGGAGACCUGCCAGCCGCAACCGGGCACA